Molecule: long non-coding RNA, 460 nt
Organism: Pezoporus flaviventris
Lineage: Eukaryota; Metazoa; Chordata; Aves; Psittaciformes; Psittacidae
Exons: 4
Source: RefSeq, a predicted model, not a curated record
UGACAGGAGCCCCACACCUCAGACUGGGAGAGACCCCCAGGAAAGGUCAGGGUUGUUAUAGGAAUGUGUGGCAGGACACAUCCUAAACCUCCUGCCUUGCGUGAGGGACCUUCUCAGCAGGACCCAACCGGCGGUGCUGCCGCUGGGGACCUGCAUCACCAGGAUACUUGCUGAGGCCUCAUCCAGCAACUUGAGGACUCUUCUGCUGCACAUCCCCUGAGCACUGCCUGGGGAGGAGACAGCCUGAACACAGCCCAGUAUCCAGUGGGCUUGUUACUCAGCAGGAUCAGCAUGGCCAAGGUGCAAGAAGCAGGUGGGAAAACCCAACCCUUUGUUUCCCAUUGCCAAUUCCCAGGCAGAGCCAGGGCCUGGCUCUGCCCGUGGAGGCUUUCCCACGGAUGCUGCACAACAGCCACACAGCCGGACAACCGCACAGGCAGCAGGUGAAGCACCACGACAG